This 460-nucleotide ribosomal RNA is filed under the name uncultured bacterium. RNAcentral describes it as "partial 16S ribosomal RNA". It matches the Rfam family "Bacterial small subunit ribosomal RNA", at positions 338 to 795 of the family's 1533-position model. The record is from RNAcentral.
CCUACGGAGUGCAGCAGUGAGGAAUAUUGGUCAAUGGGCGUAAGCCUGAACCAGCCAAGUCGCGUGAGGGAUGAAGGUUCUAUGGAUCGUAAACCUCUUUUAGAAGGGAAUAAAGUGUGGGACGUGUCCUAUUUUGUAUGUACCUUAUGAAUAAGGAUCGGCUAACUCCGUGCCAGCAGCCGCGGUAAUACGGAGGAUCCGAGCGUUAUCCGGAUUUAUUGGGUUUAAAGGGUGCGGAGGCGGCCUUUUAAGACAGCGGUGAAAGUCUGUGGCUCAACCAUAGAUUUGCCGUUGAAACUGGGGGGCUUGAGUAUGUUUGAGGCAGGCGGAAUGCGUGGUGUAGCGGUGAAAUGCUUAGAUAUCACGCAGAACCCCGAUUGCGAAGGCAGCCUGCCAAGCCAUGACUGACGCUGAUGCACGAAAGCGUGGGGAUCAAACAGGAUUAGAUACCCUUGUAGUC